AGACUCCUGCCCCUGCCACGAGAACACACCCUUUCCAGUUUGCUGGAGAAAUAUAAGAGAAGUCCAGUGAAAGAGAGCUGAGUUUCCCCAAUGAUGCCAUCAAGAUGAACUAACUACAGUUAACCAGCCAGCUGAUAGCAGAUGCAUGAGUGAGCCCAGCUGAGAGCAGGUUGUGCAAGCAUGGCACGUGCAUCUGUUUGGCUUGUGGUGAGGCCUCAGGAAGCUUACAGUCAUGGUGGAAGGCAAAGAGGGAGCCAGUACAUCACGUGAACUCGUAGAGUGAGAACUCAUUCACUACCAUGAAGACAACACCAAGCCAUUCCUGAGGUGAAACUGAAAUUGGCUGUAUCAUCUGAAACUUCAUCUGUGAAGUCCCUGGUGGUUUCCUAGAUGACUACACAGUUGAGUUGCCUCUGAUUGGAAAAGCAGGC
RNAcentral lists this long non-coding RNA (431 nucleotides) under Homo sapiens (human). RNAcentral describes it as "HSALNT0402927". Lineage: Eukaryota; Metazoa; Chordata; Mammalia; Primates; Hominidae. The record is from RNAcentral.